RNAcentral lists this unclassified non-coding RNA (337 nucleotides) under soil metagenome. RNAcentral describes it as "partial contains 5.8S ribosomal RNA, internal transcribed spacer 2, and large subunit ribosomal RNA". The stretch from base 1 to 120 matches the Rfam family "5.8S ribosomal RNA", at positions 35 to 154 of the family's 154-position model. The record is from RNAcentral.
GAUGAAGAACGCAGCGAAAUGCGAUAAGUAGUGUGAAUUGCAGAAUUCAGUGAAUCAUCGAAUCUUUGAACGCACAUUGCGCCCCUUGGUAUUCCAUGGGGCAUGCCUGUUCGAGCGUCAUUUGUACCUUCAAGCUCUGCUUGGUGUUGGGUGUUUGUCUCGCCUCUGCGUGUAGACUCGCCUCAAAACAAUUGGCAGCCGGCGUAUUGAUUUCGGAGCGCAGUACAUCUCGCGCUUUGCACUCAUAACGACGACGUCCAAAAGUACAUUUUUACACUCUUGACCUCGGAUCAGGUAGGGAUACCCGCUGAACUUAAGCAUAUCAAUAUGCGGAGGA